AACGUAGGGGGCGAGCGUUGCCCGGAUUCACUGGGCGUAAAGCGGGUGUAGGCGGUUCUUUAAGUCGGAUGUGAAAUCCUACGGCUCAACCGUGGAACUGCAUCCGAUACUGGGGAACUUGAGGACGGUAGAGGUCGGUGGAAUAUCCGGUGUACCGGUGAAAUGGGCAGAUAUCGGAUAGAACACCAGUGGCGAAGGCGGCCGACUGGGCCGUUCCUGACGCUGAGACCCGAAAGCUAGGGUAGCGAACCGG
RNAcentral lists this ribosomal RNA (253 nucleotides) under uncultured bacterium. Its description in RNAcentral is "partial 16S ribosomal RNA". It matches the Rfam family "Bacterial small subunit ribosomal RNA", at positions 524 to 776 of the family's 1533-position model. The record is from RNAcentral.